Molecule: long non-coding RNA, 8046 nt
Filed under: Sus scrofa (pig)
Lineage: Eukaryota; Metazoa; Chordata; Mammalia; Artiodactyla; Suidae
Description: lncRNA (ENSSSCG00030032796.1)
Source: RNAcentral
AUAUGGAGGUUCCCAGGCUAGGGGUCCAAUUGGAGCUGUAGCUGCUGGCCUACACCACAGCCACAGCAACCCAGGAUCCAAGCCACAUCUGCAAACUACACCACAGCUCACGGCAACACUGGACCCUUAACCCACUGAGCGAGGCCAGGGAUCGAACCUGUGUCCUCAUGGAUGCUAGUCAGAUUUGUUAACCACUGAGCCACGAUGGGAACCCCUGGCCCUACUCUCUAGUCAUAUCUACGACUAAGAGGUGAGUGGGGGUGGGUGACAUCUUCAAAGAGGUCUAUGGCUCCAAAUAGGACAAGACCCACUUUCUUGCUGAGUGAUGCUCUCAGUUCAGGCUUGAGUGGUUGAAGAGCUGGGCACAGUGGUCACCAUGUGCCCUCCCCUGGUGCCAAGACAACGAAUGUGGCUCCUUGGGCAUCUCUGGCUUAGCCCCAUGGACCCAGGGGACACCCGAGGGACCUCAGGGGGCUGCUGCAACAUCUCACCCUUCCCAGGCUCAAGCUUUGGGAAUCAGGGAUGAGGAGGACUGAGGGCCCAAGUUUGGAUCUGCCCAUGUGCAGGUCACGUGAUAAGAGCAUUUUGGGGCAUUCCCAUCGUGGCUCAGUGGUUAACGAAUCCGACUAGGAACAAUGGGGUUGUGAGUUUGAUCCCUGGCCUUGCUCAGUGGGUUGAGGAUCCGGCGUUGCCGUGACCUGUAGUAUGGGUUGCAGAUGCAGCUCAGAUCCCUCGUUGCUGUGGCUCUGGCGUAGGCCAGUGGCUAUAGCUCCAAUUGGACUCCUAGCCUGGGAACCUCCCUAUGCCGCGGGAGCAGCCCUAGAAAAAGCAAAAAGGAAAAAGAAAAAAAAAGCGUUUUGGAGGUGAAGCGAUGACAAAAGCCGGAUUGCAGCCAGCUGCAGAGAAAAGGGAGGCUAGGAGGGGACAAGACCCAAACGAUGUUACCGUCUUUCCAGGCUCAGCUCAAUGCUGCCGCCUCUAGGAAGCCUUCCGUAUGGCCCUCUUCCUCUCAAGGCUACUUCACCUCACAGUCUCGCUGGCUGCCCCCACCCUGUGAGCUGGGUGCCCCCUGAGAGUGGGGACUCUUUGUCACCCCAGCAUCCUAGCACCCAGUAGGCACUUUGGAAACCUUAGCUCUUCUCUCUCCCUCCUCCAAUCACAGAAGGAAAUUCUGAGACCUUCCCCAAAACUCUGUUCUCCCACUUAAUGAAUUAUUCCUCCCCAAACAAUUGUUUCUGUAUUGCUGUGCGAAGAUUAUUAGCAUAAUGAUGAGCCCUAAUAUUGCAUUAAUUUGGUUGUGAAUUAUUUGUAUUGUCACAGUCAUUAACUCAGCGAUUGCAAUUGUGCUUUAAUUUAAUCUAGCUCCUUCCGCAGUCUGUCAAAACCUCCAGAAAUAAUGUAACCCAGAACCUCGUUUCAGAACAGACUGAAUAUCAAAUUUAUGGAAUUUAUGGAAAUCUUCCUGCAGUGACCGCCCUCUGGAGUGAGGAAACCCAAAGACAGCAGGUGGACAGGUGAGUCCAGGGCAGAGCCGACGCUCUCUGCCUGUCACGCGAGGAGCUGGUUCUCAGGGUCCCUCAGCCCCUCCCAACCCCAAGGACCUCAAGGGCAAGAAUUGGGUGGGAUUCAUCUCUCUUCCCUCGCAGGGCUCAGACGAUACAGCACACAGCGUGGCGGUGCUCGAAAAGUGGUGGAACAGUAGCCCAGGAAGGAAGAAAUGACGCAGCCCCCAGCAGCUCUUCUUUCCGCCCCCAGCAGGGACAGGUAACGUGAGGCUCUCUCCAGCUCACGCCAUGAGCCCAGUCCCAGCCUAGGCUGCAAAGGCUGGAGAAAAGCUGGGGGGAAGCCUGGGCUGAAAAGAAUUCAUCUGGCUUCUCACCAUGGGGGUUCACAAUCUUUGUGCUUGAACCAAAUGUGACUUCUUGCUUGCUAUGUUGCUGGUGGCUGAAACUGGCUAGCUGUCCUCCAAGAACCUCCUAAGGCAGCCUUUAUUCCUCGGCUGACCCAGCUCAGAGACCUCACUGCUGUGCCAGAAGCAGAGCACAGAUCAGCUUGCAGGGAAGACUCACAUUAGCCAGGCUCAAGUGGCUGAUGUAUAAACCUGAAGCCACAUCUUUUAUUGACAAUGAACAACUGAGGUGUGACAAGGACUGGGCUACUUUCUCCCAGAGACGCAGUCUUCCCAGUCCUCUCUCUGGACAGGGUCACAGGGCCAGGUGAUCCCAGGGGACCUCGCCAGGCCCCUGUGCAGCUCUCAUCUCUUGCUCCCUGCAAUGGUGGAGGCUUCCUAGUCCUCCAAGCUGAAGCUCAGGCCCCACCUCCUAUCCCUGGGGCCAAGAUCACUGCCCUUUCACUUCUCUUCCAUUGCAGCCCCUCCCCCUGGGGCUGUGGGCUCGGAAGUCUGCUCCAGAAUCCAGAGUGCUCCCUCCCCUCCCACUUAGGGAAGGCUCUGGAACUGGUUACUGAAUGAAGGGAGGGGCGGGCCUCUCUACCUCCCUUCUCUCCUCCUGCAGGUGAGCACUUCCAGGCGGCAAAUUCACCAGGGGGGCGGGGCGUCCUCAGCCCUGCAGGGAUGAUUCGAAUGCCCCUCAUUCCAGAGGAAACUCGGCUGGACCGUGCCCCUCUCACCAUCAAGGACCACCCAGUGUGCCCCUUUCUUUGCCCAGAGCCUUCACCCAGCUUCCCAUAGGUCUCACAGGCCUGGCAGCUGUCCCCCCUCUAAGCGGACUGCACAUGUCUCUGCUACAAAAUAGACUGACUUGAAAUUGAGCUUCGAGAGCCGCUGUAUUUCCAAGGUCUAGGCGCUGGGGUGGCUCCCGGGAUCUCCCUACAGACCCAGGCGAUCCCCGGCCCUUUGGGAUGGAUUCUUUGGAGGCAGAUGAUCUGGUUUAGGAGACGACCUGUGUGACUUUGCACAAGUUGCACAGCCUCUCUGGGCCACAGGCCCCCUUCUCCUUAAAGCAGAACCAGUGAGAAUUGACGGCAUAAUGACACCUCCCAGGGGGCACAGGGGGGUCCCUUGCCCUGGCUCAGCAUCACUCCCCCAGCUGGGGGACUGACUCUGGGAACUCUGCAGGGUCCUGCAGGAGGUCCCACGGGCUGGAGGGACAGUAAAGAGAACAGGUGUCCCCCAGGGCGGGCCAAUGGCUCGAAGCUCCCUGCUCUGGGGCUGCUGCCAAUCAAAUGAAAAUCAGGGGUGUUGAGGCAGAAAGGAAACACCUCAGCCUGAAAUAGAAGAGGGCAGGGGGUCUGAAAAAGUGGAGGAAAUCUCUAGAACUGGGCUGCCGGUGUGGCGCAGGAGACCAGGCCUUCUGCCCAGCCCCUCACUCGACAGUAAGGAGUCCCAGGCGUGGCAGGAAGGACAAACAGAGCUCGGGGUAAGAAGGCCUGGGUCCACCCCACCCCUCUGAGCUGACUCACUGGCAGGAUGGAGCGGGGGGAAUCCUUCUGCCUGCAGAAUAAAGACACAGGGAGGAGAAAACUCUGCCCCGGAAGCCGGGUUGAAAUUUAACACACACAGAUGUGCCAAAUAUUUAGCUUAUUGAUUUCUCUGUAACUUAUCUUAUCUUCGCGAGACUCCACCCCAUUGGAGAAUUUAAACACGCCAACUAAAGAUACCCCACUGGCAUGAGCCUUGCAGCCUGAACACAGAAGAGGAACUGGCAUAGCCCAUGUUUCCUUCCAGAAACUGCCUCAGGAUUUCCCAUCAUGGCUCAGUGGUUAAGGAACCCGACUAGUAUCCAUAAGGACUUGAGUUCGAUCCCUGGCCUCGGUCAUUGGGUUAAGGAUCCGGCGUUGCCAUGGGCUGUGGUGUAGGUCGCAGACACAGCUUGGAUCUGGCCUUGCUGUGGUUAUGGUGUAGGCCGGCAGGUGUAGCUCUAAUUUGAGCCCUAGCCUGGGCACUUCCAUAUGCCACAGGUGUGACCCUGAAAAGACAAAAGACAAAGAAGAAAAGAAAAGAAACUACCUCAAAGAUAGCCAGGAGCAAAAGCCACGACCCCCACCUACAUCCUACACAAAAAAAUAACUAAAAAGUAAAUCUUGGGCCUAAAUAUAAAAGCUAAAGCUGGAGUUCCCCUGUGGUGCAGUGGGUUAAGGACCUGGCGUUGUCACUAUAGCAGCUCUGGUCACUGCUAUGGCGAGAGUUUGAUCCCUAGUGUGAGAACUCGCACAGGCCGUAGGUGCAGCCCCCCCAAUAAAAUCUAAAGCUGCUAAGCUUCUAGAAGAAAAUAUAGGAGAAAAUACUCAUGAUCUUGGGCGUUGGGAAGAAUUUCUUAAACAAGACACAAAAAACACAAAAAAGGCAGAAAGAAAGGAAGAAGUUCAACUUCACUCAAAUUAAAAACCUUCAAGGAGUUCCCGUUGUGGCUCAGCAGGUUAAGAACCUGAUUAGUAUCUGAGGAUGCGGUUCGAUCCCUGGCCUCACUCAGUGGGUUAAGGAUCUGGCGUUGCCGUGAGCAGUGGUGUAGGUUGCAGACGCGGCUCAGAUCCUGCAUGGCUGAGGCUGUGGCAUGGCAGCUGCAGCUUUGAUUCAACCCCUGUGUCUGCAACUUCCAUAUGCUGUGGUGCAGCCCUAAAAAUAAAACAAUUAAAAUUUUUUAAAAAAAACUUUGAUUUUCAAGACACUGAAGAAAAUGAAAAGGGAAGGCAGAGACUGGAGAAAAUAGUCACGAAUCAUAUUUCCAAAAAAGACUGAUGUCUAGAACAUAUAAAGGACACUUACAACUUAAUAAGAUGGAAUUUGAAAAGACAAUUAGCAAAGACACACAAGGUCAUGGGUCAUUAGAGAAAUGUAUAGUAAGACUCUAAGGGGGGAGUUCCCAUCGUGGCUCAGCGGUAAAGAACCUGAAUAGGAUCCAUGAGGACUUGGGUUCGAUCCCUGGCCUUGCUCAGUGGGUUAAGGAUCUGGCAUUGCCGUGAGCUGCAGUGUAGGUCACAGAUGCGGCUCAGAUCUGGCGUUGCUGUGGCUGUGGUGUAGACUAGUAGCUGCAGCUCUGGUUGGACCCCUAGCCUGGGAACACCCAGAUGCCGUGGGUGCGGCCCUAAAAAAAAGGGAAAGAAAACUAUGGGGGAUGCAUGUGACCCCCACUUAGGAGGCUAAAAUCCGGAAGACUGGCCAUUCGAGGAUGUGAGCAACCAAGAGCUCUCACAUGGCUUUCACGUGCUCGCAGGCAGGUAAAAGGGACAGUGCCUUUGGGGAAGAGUUUGGGCAGUUUCUUCAAAGUUACACGCAUACCUACCACAGCACCAGCCAGUCUGCAUGUGGGUUGUCUGCCCGAGAGGAAUGAAAGCUUACAUCCAGGAGUUCCCGUUGUGGCUCAGUGGGUUAAGAACCUGACAUAGUGUCCUCAAGGAUGAGGGUUCGAUUCCUGGCCUCGCCUGGUGGGUUAAGGAUCCAGCGUUGCUGUGAGCUGUGGUGUAGGUUGCAGAAGCGGCUUGGACCCCGCAUGGCUGUGGCCGUGGUGCAGGCCGGCAGCGGUAGCUCCAAUUCAGCCCUUAGCCUGGGAACCUCCAUAUGCCACAGGUGCGGUUCUAAAAAGCAAAAGAGAAAACGACAACAGUAACAACCACACCCAUGGCCUUAGCUGCCCUCCCUGAGCCUCCCCGUUCUCAGUAGAACUGCCUCUCCCGAUGAUGGGUGGGCAUCAGCAAUGACACCCAGAACUAUUAGCUCAGCAAAGGCACCUACAAGUGUGUGACAAGGGGGCUGUCGUCACCCUCUCCCUGGGGCCGCCUCUGAUUCCCGCAAGCAGAAUGGUCUCCAGGACCACCUGCCACAUCUGGAUUCCCAUGUGAGCCGGAGCGUGGAGAAGCUGGCUGUGUAGACAGGGCUGCCUUGCAUCCAGAGUUCCAGCCUCCGGGAGACUAUUCUCGUUCCAAUUCAGAAUGCCUGGCUCCGGGCGCAAUGGGCUUUGUCCCAAGGAUGUAAUUUCUAUUUUGAUUCCACUCGACACUUAAUGAAAUGACUUUCAGACACCACGCCGUGGGUCUGAGUUAUGAAACCACAUCUUCUGGAUCCUCGAGGCAGCACAGUAACCGGCCCCCUCUUGUUUCGGGAGUCGCCUGGCGUCUCCCUCCUGAGGCGGGGGUGCUGAGCCCAGGGUUUUGAGGUGCCGAGCAUCCCCUGGGGGCCCAGGCCACAGCGUGGAAGCUCCGCUCCCUCCACCCAGGGCCCGCGCCCCGCCGCUUCUGGCUGGACUGUGGCAGCAGCCUCCGGCAGCCUCCUGCCCACUGUCGCCCUCUCUCCCAUCCAGUGCUGUUCAUGCUGCGGAUCAAAAGCAUUCCCGGAGACAGGAAAUCAAUGGGGAGGGUGGCAAACAGCAUUUUCAGGAAAACAAAUGAGAGAGCAGGGACUGGAAGGUGCUGGAAAGCAUCCGGCGUGGGACAAGCGACGGCUGUUUCAGGACACACAGGCCGUGGUGGCCACCAGGCCCUGUGCAGGGAACGGAAGACCAAAAGAUGCCGCUCCCGCCCAGGACCUUUGAGCUUCCAGAAGGCACACCUGAUCGGGUCGCUCCCCAGCUAGACCUCAGCGGCUUUGGGGACAGAAUUCACAUCCCUCCGGGGUGGGGGGGCACAGAAAGCCCCUGGAAACCUGUCCCCUGUCCCUCUCAUCCCACCCCCACCCCUGCUAGAUGGCAGGGGGGUCCGGACCGCCCUGCCCCCUUGGCACUCAGUUUAUGGCCAGGACUCAAGGGCAGGACCCCGUAAGUGACGUGUGACGUCACAGGCCAUCUCCUAGGGGGGUCCACACCACCUGCUGACCCCUUCUCGGCUAAGCCGACUUCCUGGAUUCUACAGAAGCAAAGAUAUAUUUCUGGAAGCCUUCCAUCCAAAAGGAAGUAGAAGCCCCACAAUUGCUCUGUAGCUUGGCUAUUAAAAAUAGGAAUUGCACCCACACGCAGGAAGAAGAGUUUGUUGUGGACCACGGAAGGGCCAGAGUCACAAGGUCACCUGUGUGUUCGGGGAGAGGAAGCUGCUGGGCUCAUGAGCUGACUGUUGCGGAGGCAGGCAGCUGUCAGCAGCUGGAGCCACAGCCCCAAGGCCCAGAAACCCCCAGAACCACAGGGAUGCCACACGCUGCCCUGCCAACGGCUUCAUAAAACCCAGUUCCCGCCACAUCAUGUGAGCAUUUGGACAAGCACAGGUUCCAAAGAAAAUUGCAAAAGAAAUCAAUUGUGCAUUAACGAGCAGAGGGGAGACCUCGGCACCGACCUGGGAAGAACCCAAGAUCUCUGGCGCCAGCUGGCCAGCUGGCCCGGCCCUGAGCUUGGCGACACUUGUGGAAGGAAGCCCGCCUCCGUUCGGGUGUCUGGCUCUGAAGGCCUGAAGCUCCGGUCACAGGACAGUCUCCAGGAGGCCCUGUGAGCAAGCAGAGCCUCUGCAGCCACAGGUUAGAGGGGAGGGAGGGGGGGAGGAAGUGGCCACCCCCUCGGGGCGGUCAGGGCCUCCACAGCAUUAUCCACAGUCAUUAAUCCCCAGCCCUGUGACCCUCCUGCUCCUGUGUCAGAGACAGAGGCCUCCCCCAGACCAUUCCCUCCCUCACUCACUCAAUUAACACUGGAAAGAAUCCAGGAGCUCCUGCGGUGGCUCAGCAGGUUAAGAUUCUGACUAGUAUUCAUGAGGAUACAGGUUCGAUCCCUGGCCUGGCUCAAGGGGUUAAGGAUCCAGUGUUGCCGUGAGCUGUGGUGUAGGUCGCAGACGAGGCUCAGAUCUGGUGUUGCUGUGGCUGUGGUGCAGGCCGGCAGCUGUUGUUCCAAUUCAACCCCUAGCCUGGGAAUCUCCACAUGCCUCAGGUGUGGCCCUAAAAAGACAAACGAGCAAAAAAAAAAAAAAAUUUCCGGAGGAUACAGGUUUGAUCCCUGGCCUGGCUCAGGGGAUUAAGGAUCCGGCAUUGCCGGAAGCUGUGUGUAGGUCGCAGACGCUCGGAUCCCAGGUUGCCGUAGGCCGGCAGCUGGGGCUCCAGUUCCAACUCCUAGCCUGGGAACUUUCAUGUGCUGCAGGUUUGGCCCGAAGAAGAAAAAAAAAAAAAAGAAAAGAAAGAAA